UUUUUAGUGCAAAACAAUGUCCGCUUUCAACGUGCAGUCUUUGAGAGGGUGUGAAGAGAACUCUCAAAUCUCUCACAGACGCCGGCUGACAAACGGGGGUUCUCGCGGCAGAAGCUGGGGUGACCCACGCACCACGCUGACGACGUGAGCUUUCGGAGUCCCAGCGCGGGACGCAGACACGCGCAAGUUGCUCGCUCAGCUGAAGCGACACCUGCAGACGCUGCCUGGAAUACGCCUGUUCAUUAGCAGCUUGGUGGAAACAGGUUCAAGAGAAUAAAAACGAAAUCGAGAGUGUGGAGACAGUGAGCCCCGAAUCCCGCUUCCUCAGAACACAGCACAAGCCCCUUGGGCGGUGCUGCCAUCCCAGCCGAGCGGGCUCACGGGACGUCAGGCGGCCCGCAGGGGUGUUUCCGUCUGUGAACGGAUUCCCGUGCAGGGAGCCAGAGGCAACGUGCACGCGCGUGGGGUGAAAUGCACACGGGUUAUCUUACCUCUCACUUCCCACCCGACUCAUCGGCUGCCACCCUGGGACCACACCCGGGUGAGUGCCCCGGCCCGCGGGUUUACUCCAUGGGAGAUUGUGCUUGGUGACAACCGUCAACCGGGCCAGCGUGACCUCCGGCAGGAAAGGGCGGGCAGACAGAAAGCACAGGUGUGGCCAAAGGGGUUCCCAGCUCCCACGUCAGCUCUCAGCUGUCGUGUCGCUGACCCGGGCCCUGUAGGUCCGCUGCCCCGGGGGGACUGAGGCCCACUUGUCAUGCCGGCCCACGGCUUUCUGAACUUUCCUUCCCAGCGCACCGCACGCAUCCCGGGCGGUGACCGUGUCGCUGUCCGCACUGGCACACGUCUUCCUCCUCCUCUGGUUGCCAACCUCCAGAGCUGGGGAUUUCUCUGCUCUUUCUUCACUCCCACCCACACCGCUCACAGGCACCCGGAGGUCCUCCAAAGAGGUUUCGUGAACAAAGGCCCAGGACACGCUGGACACACCCCACGGUCAAGAAACACGGUGUCUUCCAGUCUGACCUAUGAGGAGCUCUGAAUGACGGGUUUCUGUUCUUCAAAUUUAAAUGCUGACUACAGCAAGAGCAGUGUUGGGAACUGCCAGUUAUGCAACCAGCCCACCGGCAGGAAAGAUGCUGCUUCUAACAACAAACGUCCUGUCCCGAUGCAGCCCAGGACUAACUUUUCCAUGGACCCAGACAUUUUACACCCAGAAAAAGGGAACAUUCACAGUUGCAGAACCGUUGAGUACUUGCAGUUAAAUAAAGGUAACACUGCCCAA
Neofelis nebulosa (Clouded leopard) is the source of this 1282-nucleotide long non-coding RNA. RefSeq lists it as uncharacterized. The record is from RefSeq and is a predicted model, not a curated record. NCBI's taxonomy places the organism in Eukaryota, Metazoa, Chordata, Mammalia, Carnivora, Felidae. The transcript is spliced from 2 exons.